Molecule: ribosomal RNA, 252 nt
Filed under: uncultured bacterium
Lineage: Bacteria
Description: partial 16S ribosomal RNA
Rfam family: Bacterial small subunit ribosomal RNA
Source: RNAcentral
UACGUAGGGUGCUAGCGUUAUCCGGAUUUACUGGGCGUAAAGGGCGCGUAGGUGGUCUUUCAAGUCGGAGGUCAAAGGCUACGGCUCAACCGUAUUAAGCCGCCGAAACUGGAAGACUUGAGUGCAGGAGAGGAGAGUGGAAUUCUCAGGGUAGCGGUGAAAUGCGUAGAUAUUGGGAAGAACACCAGUGGCGAAGGCGGCUUUCUGGACUGUAACUGACGCUGAGGCACGAAAGCGUGGGUAGCAAACAGG